GACGAACGCUGGCGGCGUGCUUAACACAUGCAAGUCGAACGGAAAGGCCCUGCUUUUGUGGGGUGCUCGAGUGGCGAACGGGUGAGUAACACGUGAGUAACCUGCCCUUGACUUUGGGAUAACUUCAGGAAACUGGGGCUAAUACCGGAUAGGAGCUCCUGCUGCAUGGUGGGGGUUGGAAAGUUUCGGCGGUUGGGGAUGGACUCGCGGCUUAUCAGCUUGUUGGUGGGGUAGUGGCUUACCAAGGCUUUGGCGGGUAGCCGGCCUGAGAGGGUGACCGGCCACAUUGGUCCUGCCAUACGGCCCAGACUCCUACGGGAGGCAGCAGUGGGGAAUAUUGCACCAUGGGCGGAAGCCUGAUGCAGCAACGCCGCGUGCGGGAUGACGGCCUUCGGGUUGUAAACCGCUUUCGCCUGUGACGAAGCGUGAGUGACGGUAAUGGGUAAAGAAGCACCGGCUAACUACGUG
RNAcentral lists this ribosomal RNA (468 nucleotides) under uncultured bacterium. Its description in RNAcentral is "partial 16S ribosomal RNA". It matches the Rfam family "Bacterial small subunit ribosomal RNA", at positions 28 to 507 of the family's 1533-position model. The record is from RNAcentral.